This 66-nucleotide transfer RNA is filed under the name Galerucinae sp. 1 ACP-2013. RNAcentral describes it as "tRNA-Arg". The record is from RNAcentral. Lineage: Eukaryota; Metazoa; Arthropoda; Insecta; Coleoptera; Chrysomelidae.
UAAAUAUAAAGCAAAAUAUUGCACUUAGUUUCGACCUAAAAUUUUUAAUCUUUAAGAUUUAUAUUU